Molecule: ribosomal RNA, 490 nt
Filed under: uncultured bacterium
Lineage: Bacteria
Description: bacterial SSU rRNA
Rfam family: Bacterial small subunit ribosomal RNA
Source: RNAcentral
GAUGAACGCUAGCGGGAGGCUUAACACAUGCAAGUCGAGGGGUAAAUGGUAGCAAUACUAUGAGACCGGCGGACGGGUGCGUAACGCGUAUGCAACAUACCUUGUGCAGGGGGAUAGCCCGUGGAAACGCGGAUUAAUAUUCCAUAGUCCAGCUAUAUCGCAUGGUAUAGUUGGUAAAGAUUUAUCGGCACAAGUUUGGCAUGCGUCUGAUUAGCUUGUUGGUAGGGUAACGGCCUACCAAGGCUACGAUCAGUAGGGGUUCUGAGAGGAUUAACCCCCACACUGGUACUGAGACACGGACCAGACUCCUACGGGAGGCAGCAGUGAGGAAUAUUGGUCAAUGGGCGAAGCCUGAACCAGCCAUCCCGCGUGAAGGAAGACAGCCCUUACGGGUUGUAAACUUCUUUUCUGUCAGAAGAAUAAGCUUGUCGAGACGAGUGAUGCCGGUAUGACAGGAAUAAGCAUCGGCUAACUCCGUGCCAGCAGCCGA